This 254-nucleotide ribosomal RNA is filed under the name uncultured bacterium. RNAcentral's name for it is "partial small subunit ribosomal RNA". It matches the Rfam family "Bacterial small subunit ribosomal RNA", at positions 26 to 285 of the family's 1533-position model. The record is from RNAcentral.
AGGACGAACGCUGGCGGCGUGCUUAACACAUGCAAGUCGAGCGGAAAGGCCCUUCGGGGUACUCGAGCGGCGAACGGGUGAGUAACACGUGAGUAAUCUGCCCCUAGCUCUGGGAUAGCUCCGGGAAACCGGGAUUAAUACCAGAUACGACCACUUUAGACAUCUCUUGUGGUGGAAAGAAUUUCGGCUGAGGAUGGGCCCGCGGCCUAUCAGCUUGUUGGUGGGGUAAUGGCCUACCAAGGCGACGACGGGUA